This 609-nucleotide ribosomal RNA is filed under the name Lyomyces crustosus. RNAcentral describes it as "partial 28S ribosomal RNA". It matches the Rfam family "Eukaryotic large subunit ribosomal RNA", at positions 62 to 654 of the family's 3401-position model. The record is from RNAcentral. Lineage: Eukaryota; Fungi; Basidiomycota; Agaricomycetes; Hymenochaetales; Schizoporaceae.
AAACUAACAAGGAUUCCCCUAGUAACUGCGAGUGAAGCGGGAAAAGCUCAAAUUUAAAAUCUGGCGGUUUCACCGUCCGAGUUGUAAUCUGGAGAAGCAUUUUCCGCGUUGGACCGUGUACAAGUCUCUUGGAAUAGAGCGUCAUAGAGGGUGAGAAUCCCGUCCAUGACACGGACUACCAGUGCUUUGUGAUAUGCUCUCAAAGAGUCGAGUUGUUUGGGAAUGCAGCUCAAAAUGGGUGGUAAAUUCCAUCUAAAGCUAAAUAUUGGCGAGAGACCGAUAGCGAACAAGUACCGUGAGGGAAAGAUGAAAAGCACUUUGGAAAGAGAGUUAAACAGUACGUGAAAUUGUUGAAAGGGAAACGCUUGAAGUCAGUCGCGUUGUCCGGGACUCAGCCUUGCUAUUUGCUUGGUGUACUUCCUGGUUGACGGGUCAACAUCAAUUUUGGCUGGUGGAUAAAGGCCGAGAGAAGGUGGCAUCUUCGGAUGUGUUAUAGCUCUUGGUUGUAUACGCUGGCUGGGAUUGAGGUCUGCAGCACGCCUUUUUGGCCGGGGUUCGCCCACGUAACGUGCUUAGGAUGUUGGCAUAAUGGCUUUAAGCGACCCGUCU